Long non-coding RNA from Pomacea canaliculata, 634 nucleotides. RefSeq lists it as uncharacterized. The record is from RefSeq and is a predicted model, not a curated record. The transcript is spliced from 3 exons. NCBI's taxonomy places the organism in Eukaryota, Metazoa, Mollusca, Gastropoda, Architaenioglossa, Ampullariidae.
UGAUCUGACUCAGUAAGAGUGUCUACCGACCGAAAAUAGUCGUGCCUGGUGCUUACUCUACAUUUUGACAUGUGUUUAUAAGGGAAGUAAGAGGGUCCCGUUAUUUCUUUCAAAUGGACAAUGAAAGAAGACGAAUGUCUGUGCAGUCAAUAGAUAUGACCACGAACUAAUAUCCACGUCCAUGAUAUGACGAUAGCUUUAGCAUGGACAAGUCCACAACACCAUCUGACACUUCGCCUCACAAUACUUCCUGGCAUUAGGGAGACCAUUUGGAAGAACAUUUUUCGUGGUUACCUCCCCUUCUGAUAGACGUCACUGUACAACUUUAUUAACGGGCAGUUACAGUCUUAGUGUACCUACCUCAUCAUGGUAACCCUGACAUUCUGGGAAGGAAGGCAGAAGCAGUGUACGUGAUCCUGAAAACACACAACACCUGCGCUGCUGUCCACCUCCGGAAUGAAGCUCUGCUAUUGAUCCUUGAGUUUAUGGAAUGGCAAUCGUCAGCACUUAUGCCUGAACAGUGGCUGGUUCACUGGGCUGAAAAUCGACUCAACAAACCUAAUGUCACACCCUGCAUUAUUAAACAAAUUUGAUUGUUUAGUUUGUUUUGUCAUUACAAUCUUGUCAGUUUAAA